Long non-coding RNA from Drosophila persimilis, 449 nucleotides. RefSeq lists it as uncharacterized. The record is from RefSeq and is a predicted model, not a curated record. NCBI's taxonomy places the organism in Eukaryota, Metazoa, Arthropoda, Insecta, Diptera, Drosophilidae. The transcript has 6 exons.
CCGGAUGUGGCUUCACUUUUAUUCGACAACUCAAGCAAAAUGGGAUAAAUACCACGAACUUUGGUGAAACUUUGAACAAUUGACGCCAUGUAGGUGUGCGUACACAAGGCCACGCGGCCGGUGAGACACCUUGGGCAUUCAGCCCAUUUGAGACUCCUCUGGGCAUUGAGGUUAUGUCUAACAAACGGCCCAUGGAGACGACAGUGUGGACAUUUUUGUAACAAGAUUUCGAACUCUGCUUUGAGGUUAUGGCGUGCAUCUGAUGGCUACUCCAGGCACAUGGUACUUCGUUGUGAAAACCAACCAAGCAAAUAUGUGGGAAUUUUAAAUGACUACCGAAUCUGUAACUGCACCUAUUUUAAAGACUUUCAUUAUGGCUUCAACUGGAUGGCAUUUGCUCAACAGCACUUGUGUUUAAGGCGCAUCAAUUGAAUACUAAAUAAAUCUAA